CAAUAGCGUAUAUUAAAGCUGUUGCGGCUAAAAAGCUCGUAGUUGGAUUUCUGUCAAGGACAACUGGUCCGCCCCUCGGGUGAGCACAUAGUUUGGUCUUGGCAUCUUGUUGGAAACUGUUGCUGCACUUGGUUGUGUGGCGCAGUGUCCAGCACUUUCACUUUGAGGAAAUUGGAGUGUUUCAAGCAGGCACAUGCCUUUGGACACAGUAGCAUGGAAUAAUUAGAUUGGGCUUUUGCUCCAACUUGUCGGUUUCUGGAGCUGAGGUGAGAAUUAAUGGGGAUUGUUGGGGGCAUCCGAAUUUAGCCGUCAGAGGUGAAAUUCUUGGAUCUGCUAAAGACGGACAACUGCGAAAGCGUUUGCCCAGGAUGUUUUCAUCGA
Molecule: ribosomal RNA, 381 nt
Filed under: uncultured eukaryote
Lineage: Eukaryota
Description: partial 18S ribosomal RNA
Rfam family: Eukaryotic small subunit ribosomal RNA
Source: RNAcentral